CUAGUGUGAGAUGAAUGCUACCCGAGCCAAUAACGAUAACUGCCAGACGAAAAUACAGAUCUCUGGCAGUAUUUCCAUAGUCCCUCGAAUUCCUUAUGGUACCUCUCUUUAUACUACCCGUCCAAGCUAAAUUGACAUAUGAGGUGGUGGCGUAAGGGAACGACAGCACUUGUUAAUGCCUGUACUGCAGCUCCUAUCAGCCACCGCUCGGACAUUAACUUUAUUUAAUUGUUUAUCUAAAAGUAACGAAGACGCACGAUAUAGUAUACAGUUCUUAUCAACAGAAAGCGCGCAGUCUCACAGUUAUUCCCAUGGCCUAUAGAACGCCUUCCAAAUGGUCUACCCUCUCCUUAGUUCCUAGCCAGAUCUCCGGGAAAGCGUAGUACAAUCUUCGGUCAACAGCUGGCGCGAGUUACUGUUGACAUUAGACAGCAAUUGAAAUAACUGCCUAUAUCAGAGGAACGGUUAUCACAGUAACCGUUACGUCUCAGUAAUCGGUUAUUUGUAUCAGUUACGUUAUUUUUUGCCACCUCUAUGCAUCAACGAGAGUAGUUAAGUGGGAACGUUGAAAGAGCGUGUGGUUGAUUGGUGGUUUGUUGUGGAGCGAAGGAUAUUUGUUGUUCAUUAUUUUUAUUAAAAGUUGGUGACGUAGUGACACGCUCUGUAGAAUGAUACGGAUUCGAGGACCAGAGGAAUUAACUGCAGAAGAAAAGAAGAAAGCGAAAGAAGGUGUAAUAGGGAACAUUACAACGUUUUUCCUUUUAAUUGCAUUAAUCAGAGCAGUUCCAUACGCACUGAAACAGUUUUGAUGACUGGAAAAUCAUGAGGAAACUGUGUUUAAAAACAUGUGUCCUGUCGAACAAUCCACGCCUUUUGUGGUGUGGAAACUUUUGUAAAAUUUUU
Schistocerca gregaria is the source of this 903-nucleotide long non-coding RNA. RefSeq lists it as uncharacterized. The transcript has 2 exons. The record is from RefSeq and is a predicted model, not a curated record. NCBI's taxonomy places the organism in Eukaryota, Metazoa, Arthropoda, Insecta, Orthoptera, Acrididae.